UUAACAGAAGCGGUAAACUGUGGUUUUGUGAAUAAGUGUGUGCUUUAGUAAUAAGAACUUUAUAAGUUGUUAUAAGCUUGACUUUAAUUGGACAACCAUUAAAACAUAAUAAGUUUAGAGAUAAAUGCCUGCAACAUUAAGGCAACCUACCAAUUUCUUUAGACACCGAUGAUCUCCGACUCCGUGCGCUGCCACUGUCUGUCCAAUUGGAUAUAAAACUAAACAGCAACGUCCCGUGUCGCACAAGCCGUAGGAUCUCGCCUGCGAAACAGAGUAAAAUAUGUUAAAUAGUUAAUAACUCGAGUGAAUCGCAUCCAAACCAAACUUGAUCGCAUAUCUCAAAGGACGAAUUUUGGAUGCCAGCAGGAGGAGCAGAAAAAACAAUAUUGCAGUAACUAUCAAGAUCCGUCUUGGAUGCCAGUGACAAGCCAUUCGUGUACGACCAAUGGGGCCGGAUACAGCGAUAAUUUACUAGGAUCAACCACAUGUGGGAUAUCUCUAGUGUAAACUAUAUCAAACACAGCGAGCAUCAGUAAUCCAAACAACGGCAGAAAUACAACAAAGGAAAACAGGAGCGGAUGACUCCAUGUGAAUAGAACCUUCUUUAUCAUCAUACCAUGCCAGACGUUUAACCGUUUCUUCGUUGCGCUUAACUCCUGGUUGUCGCUGGGCUGUGACACCCAAGCUAUAUUGGGAUUAAGUGUUACAGAAGCAAAGAGUACAUUUAAAGUAAUAGAGGAACAUGAACGGUAGCAGAUGCACGUUAACAGUAAGGAAGGCACAUUAACAGUAACAGGGACAUAACAUUUUGUUUACAUAUAAUCAUCGUUCCGGUUCUAUUUACUUUAAAUUUCGCUUACCGUUUGUCAGUUCCAUGGAAUCUAAUGUACGCGCACUUCCAAUUUUUUCAUUGCCGAUCUUCAUGAAAGUCUCACCCAGUGUUGGUGCACUGACUCCAAAACUUGAAAUUUUCAAUUUUUCCAGCCUACUCUCCAUGGCCUUAAAGAGGCUAGUAAAUUUAUGUACACUUUCAACGGGCAGACGGUAGGUUAGUUCUGUAUCCGUAACACUCUCCAGCUCCGCAUCAUUGAUAUGAUUGCGAAGAAAUUUUGUGACCUCGUGAUCAUCGCAAUCCUCUAGCACCACACAAACCUAUAUGCACAUGAGGUUUAUUGGGAUGGUUGCAUUGGAUUUAUGAAUCUUACUAGACGAUAUCCUGGGCCAAGAUUAUUUACAAGAAAUUCCGCAGUGCCGUAACCGUAUAAUUCGCCGUCACACAUGAUCGCUAUACGAUCACCCAAUACUUCCGCGGCUUCCAUAAAAUGCGUAUUCAUGACAAUGCAACGUCCAGUUUUCUCCAUACGCAACAGAUUCCAAACUUCACGACGCGCCGAUGGAUCCAGGCAAGCGGUUGGCUCAUCGCAAAGUACCACCUAAAAGCAGAAUCAGAUUGUGGAUUAGGUAAUUGAAGCUCGAAAUGUCAUGAAAUUUGAAGAAGGAGACAUCUCCGACCCCAUAAAGUAUACAUAUUUCUGAUAACUAUAAGCAUCCGAGUCGAUAUAAGCAAGUUCGUAGGAAACCCAGCAAUUAUGGGCGUAAGCCAUAGUUCUAUAAAGGGUAUUUAAUCUUCGGCGUGCCAAAGAUAGGUUAUCUUUCAUGUUUUACACUCACCUUAGUGUUGGCGCAGAGAGCACAGCACACCGACAAUUUGCGUCUCAUGCCAGUACUAAGAUAUUCUACUUUUAUUGUCGACUUGUCCAUUAGAUCCAUCAUUUCCAGAUAUCGUUCUGCCUCCGCUUCAGCUUCCGAACGCUCGAAGCCCUUAAGCCGGCUAUAAAAUACAAUAUGCCAGUAUGCGCUCAGCUCAUCGAAUAGUACAUUGUAUUGCGGACAUAAGCUUAGGGACUUGCGAGCUUUUCGUGUGGCCGUGGCCAUGUUGUUUCCAUUAACAAGAACCCUGCCAGAGGUGGGGAGGGUGAUACCCGCGAGCAUCAUAAAUGCUGUCGUUUUCCCGGCGCCAUUGUGUCCGAGCAGCACGGUUAUCUCAUCCUCAUAGAAUUUCAGAUUUAAAUCGCGCACUGCCUCAAUGUCGCCGUAGGACUUGCAUAAAUUCUGUGUCUCCAUAAUAACCGGCUUAUUGUGAAAAAUCUCCUCAAAAGUAUCGUCGUCUCGUCGUUUGAUUUGGCUAAUUGAUCGCUCUUCAUCCACAAAUUCUCUCCCCGGUCGCUCCCAAGGACACCAAAACUUGCGUUUAAGUGGAAAAUACCAUUUCUUGGCUACACCGUAUUCACCCGGAUUUAGCUGAUCCACAUACAAGCAUAAAAUGAUACGCAAUAUGUUAGUGCCCAACAUCAUCAUCAAUAUGUAUCCAAUGCUCAUUAUAUCAUCGGGAUGACUGGUUGUGAAUAAAUUGGUCCAUUGGACACCCAAGCCCCGAAUUUCAUAGCCAAGAAUCUGCACAAAUAUUAGAGGCAUUGCGCUGUUCAUAAACAAGCAUACAAAUAUUGCCUGUCCCUCUCGCGGCUGACUUCCCAACAUUAAAUAUGGCAUGAAGCUAACACAGUGCAAAACACAUAUAGAGCUCAUGGUCAACACGGUGCUGGUAACAAAGGCGGUGAUUACGAAGGUAAAACAGACUAAUGUCAGUAGAUAAAUAAUAAAUAUAAUCAGCAGCACCAUAAAGUUGGACCCGGGGCACAAACACCAGUUCAUCAAUGCCAGGAAAAUCAUCAUCGGUAUACUUAUAAAUAAACAGGCGACUAUAAACCACGACAGCCAAUUUAAGCCAACGGUGAGCCCCAUUAAUCGCAUUAUCUCCCUCAAAUGUCUCUGUUUCUCCGAAACAAUUUGCUGUAAAAUAGGAUUUGCCCAGAAGACAAUGCUUUUCGGCUCAAACGAAUGAACUGUGACGAUUGUUAUUAAAUACUUUUAGUACGCGGCGCGGUAAGCAAAAGAAAUUCAGAAACUUAACUGUCUAAUUUAGGGCAUAUACUUAAAUUUAUAAACUUGUUCAAUAAAAUAUAUUG
This is a long non-coding RNA of Drosophila montana, 3026 nucleotides long. RefSeq lists it as uncharacterized. The record is from RefSeq and is a predicted model, not a curated record. Lineage: Eukaryota; Metazoa; Arthropoda; Insecta; Diptera; Drosophilidae. The transcript is spliced from 6 exons.